GCCGUCAGUGCUAAAGUAUGGAUGGCCGUAUUUACAUCAGCGCAGGUUACAGUUGACUGUAAUUCGUGAGAUGUUCGUUUAAAAUAGGAAAUAUUGGGUAUUUUCGUCUUGAAUAAACCAGCAAUGCUGUGCUUUUAGUUGUACUUACGAAGAGAAGUAGAGAGUGAUGCAGCAAGAAGAAUAAUACGGCUGAUGAACAUCUGCAGAGCAAACUGGCAGAAUACAAAAGCAACUGCGUUGUUAAAACUCACUUCACUCCAGACCAGUUUGAAGCCAACAGAGCUGACGGAGUGGAAAAACUUAAACCAAAUGCUGUGCCAACCAUAUUCUGUUACCGUAAGCCACCAGUGGUACGUAAAGCUACUGCUGAGAGGAAACCUGUUGGCCUACUAGAGAAAUGUACUGAGGAUACAGGUUGGAGAGCCUUCAAAUGUGACCAAUGGCAUCAGUCCUGCAGAGAACAUGGACCCAAUAGAAGAUGAAGUCACCACCCUGAAGAACCGAGUAAAACAGCUUCAUGCUGAAAUUGAAGUUUUAAACUGAAAACUCAACCUCUCUUCUUUUGUGCCUUUUACUAAAGACAACCUCCUUGCCAGUGUGCACGGUUUAUUCGGCGCAGACCAGUUUGCAAUAUUAACAAAGGGGAAACAGUGCAGGAAGGGCCGAAAAUUAGACCAGCUUGUGGUGGUAUAGGGUACAAAGUCCUGCUGGAAAACAAACUUCCAUUUCCUUCAGACAGAACCGUGAGAUGUUCGCUACAGAAUGUAAAAUAUAGGCCUGUUGUGCUGAGGGAGCUCAUAAGUUUGCAGAAAGUCAAGCUUGGGCACAUGUUACCAGGGGAGAAACACCGUGUUCUCGUGAUGGACGAGUUUGGUAUCACUCCAUCAUUCGAAUACGAUUGAAGCAAUGGCUGCAUCAUUGGUAAUGAUACGGCACACCUCCAUCAAAUCUUGCCCUUGCAACAACUACAGCUUCUCAUGCAUUAGUUUUUAUGCUGGGUGGUAUCACCUCAAGAUGGAAACAAAUCAUAGGUUACCAUUACAGGGACUGGUGACCUCAGAUGUUAGGUCCAAUAGUGCUUAGAGCCAUUUUACCAUUACACAUGGCCAUCUUUUUUCCAGUUCUCAUGUCAAAGACAUCAUUAUAAACAUUAUUAGGGAAUCUUAGGCACUCGUACAAUGUUCACUGCAUCGUGUCAGAUACGGCAGGGCAAAAUCGAGCUGAGUGGCGAGAAUUUGGAAUUGUUGUCGAAAGGUUUUCAGAAUUAGUUUCUGCCAGUAUCCUUGUGAUAAUAAUAGGAAACUAAUUUUCCUCACAGAUUCACCACACAUUUUGAAAAAUGAGGAUUCAGUUAGUCAAUGGGCAAUCAGUCUUCCUUUCACAAAAUGUUGUCGAGGAAUGUGAUCUGCCUUGUAAUGAGGUACAUACAAAUCGUGUAUAACAGUGGCUUGAGGUAGACACUGGUUUAAGUCUUAAACUGGUACCAGAACUGUGUGAGGGGUGUCUGAGGCCAAACCAUUACGAGAAAAUGAAAGUUGGCUCGGCUACUGCCAUAAUUAACGGCCAGACUGCAGCAGCCAGUGAGUACGCUGUCAAGACAGAGAAACUGCAGCAAAAUACUUUAACCACAGCACGGUUGCUAAAGCACGUUCGUGAGUGGUCUUGCCUCAUGACAUCCAGAGCUCCAGUUAUGCCUCUGAGUCGUUCUGAUGAACAAACAUACAGUGAGGCUCUCUGCCAUUUUUAGGACACUCUGUGAUUAUUUGAAAACUUGGAAAUUGGCCUGAACAGUGCCUGCAAACCAAUUCAGUCUGGCGUAGUUUUCAUAACUGCCAGUAUUUUGGAAUUUUAGGACACAUUCCUGAAUGAGAAGAAAUUUAAAUUUUUGUUGUCGAGUAGAUUACGAAAGAUCCUUAGAAAAUCUGUUUUCAAUGGUCAGGUUCAAAAGUCCCAUACCGGCACCACAAGAGUAGAAAUUGGCACUGAGGGUUAUUGCUCUUUCGCUGAUCUUUAUUACUGUCACAGAUAAUAAUGAAAAUAAAAUUAAUGGGGGAAUCGCUAAGUGAAGAGGAGGAUAAGUGCUCUGAGGAAGUUGAUGGCCCCCUUUGUAACGCUGUGUGUGAUGGUGAGCACCAGCCUCUCUACCGUUUAUGUGGUCAGACUGUUAGGCAAGUUAUGAAGCGUCACGCACUUUGCAAAUUUUUUGAGGGGAGCCCAAUAGCAUCUAGAGAAAAUGUCUGUACGUCUGUGAACGUGCUUUUACAACUAAAAUCCUUUACAGAGACCUCACUUAUUGAGCCACCGAGUGAGGUUUUGUGUGUAUUUCAAAAGGCAGAGGUGUAGUUGAGAAGCAAACAACAAGAUGUUACUCUCAGGUGAAUUGUUGCUCUCUGAUAUAGCCACUUCCGUGGUUGCAUCAGUGGAGGGGAAAGUAGUUUUCCCAGCCUGCCACAGUGUACAGGAGAAAAUAAUUCAGUUUCCUGGCAACAAGAAUUCAUCUGCUUCUAAGGGAGGGAAAUAAGAUACAAGGUUUAGUGACACAAGGCAGCAGAAGCAGGCCAUGAGGAAAGUAGUGCAGAAACUGUGACUUCCAAAAUCACUUUUUACUAAAUGAUUUGAAAAAUUGACGUACAUUAGCAUGUUGAGACAUAAAAUCUGUGUUAACGAUUUUUCUUUAAAUGUUCUCAUUUUUCUUUUACGUACAGUUAUUUUUAUAUUUUUGUUUUAUGUUUCUUUCUCAGAGUGUGGAGUGCUUUUAUUAUCUCGUGUAAUAUUUGUUACAUUCUGCAAGUAGAGUAUACCCCUGUCAAGGGUUCGAAA
Molecule: long non-coding RNA, 2820 nt
Organism: Schistocerca nitens (vagrant locust)
Lineage: Eukaryota; Metazoa; Arthropoda; Insecta; Orthoptera; Acrididae
Exons: 3
Source: RefSeq, a predicted model, not a curated record